RNAcentral lists this ribosomal RNA (1491 nucleotides) under Salmonella enterica subsp. enterica serovar Enteritidis. RNAcentral describes it as "bacterial SSU rRNA". It matches the Rfam family "Bacterial small subunit ribosomal RNA". Lineage: Bacteria; Pseudomonadati; Pseudomonadota; Gammaproteobacteria; Enterobacterales; Enterobacteriaceae. The record is from RNAcentral.
CGCUGGCGGCAGGCCUAACACAUGCAAGUCGAACGGUAACAGGAAGCAGCUUGCUGCUUUGCUGACGAGUGGCGGACGGGUGAGUAAUGUCUGGGAAACUGCCUGAUGGAGGGGGAUAACUACUGGAAACGGUGGCUAAUACCGCAUAACGUCGCAAGACCAAAGAGGGGGACCUUCGGGCCUCUUGCCAUCAGAUGUGCCCAGAUGGGAUUAGCUUGUUGGUGAGGUAACGGCUCACCAAGGCGACGAUCCCUAGCUGGUCUGAGAGGAUGACCAGCCACACUGGAACUGAGACACGGUCCAGACUCCUACGGGAGGCAGCAGUGGGGAAUAUUGCACAAUGGGCGCAAGCCUGAUGCAGCCAUGCCGCGUGUAUGAAGAAGGCCUUCGGGUUGUAAAGUACUUUCAGCGGGGAGGAAGGUGUUGUGGUUAAUAACCGCAGCAAUUGACGUUACCCGCAGAAGAAGCACCGGCUAACUCCGUGCCAGCAGCCGCGGUAAUACGGAGGGUGCAAGCGUUAAUCGGAAUUACUGGGCGUAAAGCGCACGCAGGCGGUCUGUCAAGUCGGAUGUGAAAUCCCCGGGCUCAACCUGGGAACUGCAUUCGAAACUGGCAGGCUUGAGUCUUGUAGAGGGGGGUAGAAUUCCAGGUGUAGCGGUGAAAUGCGUAGAGAUCUGGAGGAAUACCGGUGGCGAAGGCGGCCCCCUGGACAAAGACUGACGCUCAGGUGCGAAAGCGUGGGGAGCAAACAGGAUUAGAUACCCUGGUAGUCCACGCCGUAAACGAUGUCUACUUGGAGGUUGUGCCCUUGAGGCGUGGCUUCCGGAGCUAACGCGUUAAGUAGACCGCCUGGGGAGUACGGCCGCAAGGUUAAAACUCAAAUGAAUUGACGGGGGCCCGCACAAGCGGUGGAGCAUGUGGUUUAAUUCGAUGCAACGCGAAGAACCUUACCUGGUCUUGACAUCCACAGAAGAAUCCAGAGAUGGAUUUGUGCCUUCGGGAACUGUGAGACAGGUGCUGCAUGGCUGUCGUCAGCUCGUGUUGUGAAAUGUUGGGUUAAGUCCCGCAACGAGCGCAACCCUUAUCCUUUGUUGCCAGCGGUUAGGCCGGGAACUCAAAGGAGACUGCCAGUGAUAAACUGGAGGAAGGUGGGGAUGACGUCAAGUCAUCAUGGCCCUUACGACCAGGGCUACACACGUGCUACAAUGGCGCAUACAAAGAGAAGCGACCUCGCGAGAGCAAGCGGACCUCAUAAAGUGCGUCGUAGUCCGGAUUGGAGUCUGCAACUCGACUCCAUGAAGUCGGAAUCGCUAGUAAUCGUGGAUCAGAAUGCCACGGUGAAUACGUUCCCGGGCCUUGUACACACCGCCCGUCACACCAUGGGAGUGGGUUGCAAAAGAAGUAGGUAGCUUAACCUUCGGGAGGGCGCUUACCACUUUGUGAUUCAUGACUGGGGUGAAGUCGUAACAAGGUAACCGUAGGGGAACCUGC